AGAGUUUGAUUCAUGCUCAGGAUGAACGCUGGCGGCGUGCCUAAUACAUGCAAGUCGAGCGAACGGACGAGAAGCUUGCUUCUCUGAUGUUAGCGGCGGACGGGUGAGUAACACGUGGAUAACCUACCUAUAAGACUGGGAUAACUUCGGGAAACCGGAGCUAAUACCGGAUAAUAUUUUGAACCGCAUGGUUCAAAAGUGAAAGGCGGUCUUGCUGUCACUUAUAGAUGGAUCCGCGCUGCAUUAGCUAGUUGGUAAGGUAACGGCUUACCAAGGCAACGAUGCAUAGCCGACCUGAGAGGGUGAUCGGCCACACUGGAACUGAGACACGGUCCAGACUCCUACGGGAGGCAGCAGUAGGGAAUCUUCCGCAAUGGGCGAAAGCCUGACGGAGCAACGCCGCGUGAGUGAUGAAGGUCUUCGGAUCGUAAAACUCUGUUAUUAGGGAAGAACAUAUGUGUAAGUAACUGUGCACAUCUUGACGGUACCUAAUCAGAAAGCCACGGCUAACUACGUGCCAGCAGCCGCGGUAAUACGUAGGUGGCAAGCGUUAUCCGGAAUUAUUGGGCGUAAAGCGCGCGUAGGCGGUUUUUUAAGUCUGAUGUGAAAGCCCACGGCUCAACCGUGGAGGGUCAUUGGAAACUGGAAAACUUGAGUGCAGAAGAGGAAAGUGGAAUUCCAUGUGUAGCGGUGAAAUGCGCAGAGAUAUGGAGGAACACCAGUGGCGAAGGCGACUUUCUGGUCUGUAACUGACGCUGAUGUGCGAAAGCGUGGGGAUCAAMCAGGAUUAGAUACCCUGGUAGUCCACGCCGUAAACGAUGAGUGCUAAGUGUUAGGGGGUUUCCGCCCCUUAGUGCUGCAGCUAACGCAUUAAGCACUCCCGCCCUGGGG
Molecule: ribosomal RNA, 891 nt
Filed under: Staphylococcus aureus
Lineage: Bacteria; Bacillati; Bacillota; Bacilli; Caryophanales; Staphylococcaceae
Description: bacterial SSU rRNA
Source: RNAcentral